Molecule: ribosomal RNA, 427 nt
Filed under: Enterococcus casseliflavus
Lineage: Bacteria; Bacillati; Bacillota; Bacilli; Lactobacillales; Enterococcaceae
Description: bacterial SSU rRNA
Rfam family: Bacterial small subunit ribosomal RNA
Source: RNAcentral
GACGAACGCUGGCGGCGUGCCUAAUACAUGCAAGUCGAACGCUUUUUCUUUCACCGGAGCUUGCUCCACCGAAAGAAAAAGAGUGGCGAACGGGUGAGUAACACGUGGGUAACCUGCCCAUCAGAAGGGGAUAACACUUGGAAACAGGUGCUAAUACCGUAUAACACUAUUUUCCGCAUGGAAGAAAGUUGAAAGGCGCUUUUGCGUCACUGAUGGAUGGACCCGCGGUGCAUUAGCUAGUUGGUGAGGUAACGGCUCACCAAGGCAACGAUGCAUAGCCGACCUGAGAGGGUGAUCGGCCACACUGGGACUGAGACACGGCCCAGACCCCUACGGGAGGCAGCAGUAGGGAAUCUUCGGCAAUGGACGAAAGUCUGACCGAGCAACGCCGCGUGAGUGAAGAAGGUUUUCGGAUCGUAAAAACUCU